Molecule: long non-coding RNA, 1173 nt
Organism: Teleopsis dalmanni
Lineage: Eukaryota; Metazoa; Arthropoda; Insecta; Diptera; Diopsidae
Exons: 3
Source: RefSeq, a predicted model, not a curated record
CUCGUUUAGAAACAAAUACUUGCAGCCGACUAUGGAUCAGAUUUAUCAUCUGUUAAAGAAGAAUUGGAUAGUCAACAACAUGAACACAAAAUUAUCGAUAAAUUUCACUCUAAAAUUGUAAAUGACGAGCGGCACCAAAUGAAAUUUUCUGGCGAAGAAUUGAACAAUUAUCAAGAUUUACGACGCCAAAUGUCUACGCUUUGUGGAUUGGCUUAUAGAGGCACGUCCAUCUUUCUCACCACCACGACGAGACUUACGUCCACCAGACAGUGACCCAGGAGCAACACAGUAUUAUAGCCAUAGACUCGAUGCACUAAAUAUAAAAUACGAUAGAUUAUUAGAACAAUUAUCGCAGAGGCUUAAAACAGCUAUCGAAGUAAAUGGCAGCGAUGGCUUGAAACAAAUACUUGCAGCCGACUAUGGAUCAGAUUUAUCAUCUGUUAAAGAAGAAUUGGAUAGUCAACAACAUGAACACAAAAUUAUCGAUAAAUUUCACUCUAAAAUUGUAAAUGACGAGCGGCACCAAAUGAAAUUUUCUGGCGAAGAAUUGAACAAUUAUCAAGAUUUACGACGCCAAAUGUCUACGCUUUGUGGAUUGGCUUAUAGAGGCACGUCCAUCUUUCUCACCACCACGACGAGACUUACGUCCACCAGACAGUGACCCAGGAGCAACACAGUAUUAUAGCCAUAGACUCGAUGCACUAAAUAUAAAAUACGAUAGAUUAUUAGAACAAUUAUCGCAGAGGCUUAAAACAGCUAUCGAAGUAAAUGGCAGCGAUGGCUUGAAACAAAUACUUGCAGCCGACUAUGGAUCAGAUUUAUCAUCUGUUAAAGAAGAAUUGGAUAGUCAACAACAUGAACACAAAAUUAUCGAUAAAUUUCACUCUAAAAUUGUAAAUGACGAGCGGCACCAAAUGAAAUUUUCUGGCGAAGAAUUGAACAAUUAUCAAGAUUUACGACGCCAAAUGUCUACGCUUUGUGGAUUGGCUUAUAGAGGCACGUCCAUCUUUCUCACCACCACGACGAGACUUACGUCCACCAGACAGUGACCCAGGAGCAACACAGUAUUAUAGCCAUAGACUCGAUGCACUAAAUAUAAAAUACGAUAGAUUAUUAGAACAAUUAUCGCAGAGGCUUAAAACAGCUAUCGAAGUAAAUGGCAGCGAUGGCUUG